UACGGAGGGUGCAAGCGUUGAUCGGAAUUAUUGGGCGUAAAGCGCACGUAGGCGGCCGACUAAGUCGGGUGUGAAAGCCCUGGGCUCAACCCAGGAAGUGCACUCGAAACUGACCGGCUUGAAUAUGGAAGAGGGUCGCGGAAUUCCCGGUGUAGAGGUGAAAUUCGUAGAUAUCGGGAGGAACACCAGUGGCGAAGGCGGCGACCUGGGCCAAUAUUGACGCUGAGGUGCGAAAGCGUGGGGAGCAAACAGG
This 253-nucleotide ribosomal RNA is filed under the name uncultured bacterium. Its description in RNAcentral is "partial 16S ribosomal RNA". It matches the Rfam family "Bacterial small subunit ribosomal RNA", at positions 524 to 776 of the family's 1533-position model. The record is from RNAcentral.